This 75-nucleotide antisense RNA is filed under the name Streptomyces vietnamensis. RNAcentral describes it as "ASpks TB sRNA". It matches the Rfam family "ASpks TB sRNA". Lineage: Bacteria; Bacillati; Actinomycetota; Actinomycetes; Kitasatosporales; Streptomycetaceae. The record is from Rfam by way of RNAcentral.
CUUCAGCGAGCCGAGCAGCAGCGGCCGGUCGGCCGGCCGGUUCUUCCCGUACGUCGCGAGGAGUGCCUGCGCCUC